CAUUAGAUGGCUGAAAGAAAGUAAUGGUCUCUUAAACCAACUCAUAGUAAUUAACGACUACUUCUAAUGG
This 70-nucleotide transfer RNA is filed under the name Anaplecta sp. 3 ZQW-2020. RNAcentral describes it as "tRNA-Lys". It matches the Rfam family "tRNA". Rfam says of the family: Transfer RNA (tRNA) molecules are approximately 80 nucleotides in length. Their secondary structure includes four short double-helical elements and three loops (D, anti-codon, and T loops). Further hydrogen bonds mediate the characteristic L-shaped molecular structure. tRNAs have two regions of fundamental functional importance: the anti-codon, which is responsible for specific mRNA codon recognition, and the 3' end, to which the tRNAs corresponding amino acid is attached (by aminoacyl-tRNA synthetases). tRNAs cope with the degeneracy of the genetic code in two manners: having more than one tRNA (with a specific anti-codon) for a particular amino acid; and 'wobble' base-pairing, i.e. permitting non-standard base-pairing at the 3rd anti-codon position. Lineage: Eukaryota; Metazoa; Arthropoda; Insecta; Blattodea; Anaplectidae. The record is from RNAcentral.